Molecule: ribosomal RNA, 403 nt
Filed under: Verrucomicrobiota bacterium
Lineage: Bacteria; Pseudomonadati; Verrucomicrobiota
Description: Verrucomicrobia bacterium partial 16S ribosomal RNA
Rfam family: Bacterial small subunit ribosomal RNA
Source: RNAcentral
UGGGGAAUAUUGCACAAUGGGGGAAACCCUGAUGCAGCGACGCCGCGUGUGCGAAGAAGGCUUUCGAGUCGUAAAGCUCUGUCCUAUGAGAAGAUAAUGACGGUAUCAUAGGAGGAAGCCCUGGCUAAAUACGUGCCAGCAGCCGCGGUAAUACGUAUGGGGCGAGCGUUGUCCGGAAUUAUUGGGCGUAAAGGGUACGUAGGCGGUUUUUUAAGUCAGGUGUCAAAGCGUGGAGCUUAACUCCAUUAAGCACUUGAAACUGAAAGACUUGAGUGAAGGAGAGGAAAGUGGAAUUCCUAGUGUAGCGGUGAAAUGCGUAGAUAUUAGGAGGAAUACCGGUGGCGAAGGCGACUUUCUGGACUUUUACUGACGCUCAGGUACGAAAGCGUGGGGAGCAAACAGG